UAAACAAUGCGAUUCAAAGUUUGAAAAGAAUCUAUCUAGCCUCCGACAAAAUCACAUGAUCUGUGUGGGUUUUAGUAUAAGAUUAAACCCCAAAAAUUAAAUAAAUAAACCGAUCACCUACCCACAUUCUGACCUCGUGCGUGUCUGUCUAUAUACAACUAACAAAGUAGACAAACCAAAGCAAAACACACAAAGCUCAUCGAGAGAACAUUCAGACACUUCAUAGCUUCUUUAUUGGGGUACCCUGAGAUCACAAAGGAUAACAAACAAUGGGCAAGGGAGUCGCAGUCUUGAACAGCAGUGAGGGUGUUAAGGGGACUAUCUUCUUCACCCAGGAAGGAGACGGUGUGACCUCUGUGACUGGAACAGUUUCUGGACUUAAACCUGGUCUACAUGGUUUCCAUGUCCAUGCUCUUGGUGACACCACUAACGGUUGCAUGUCCACCGGUCCACAUUUCAACCCUGAUGGUAAACAACACGGUGCCCCAGAGGAUGCUAAUCGACAUGCUGGUGAUCUAGGAAACAUCAUUGUUGGAGAUGAUGGAACUGCCACCUUCACAAUCACUGACUGCCAGAUCCCUCUUAGUGGACCGAACUCUAUUGUCGGAAGGGCUGUUGUUGUCCACGCAGACCCUGACGAUCUCGGAAAGGGGGGCCAUGAACUCAGCUUGGCUACCGGAAACGCAGGCGGCCGUGUUGCUUGCGGCUGAAAAUAAACCACCUAUAACAUCAUGUCGGUUUAGAAAUGAAUGUAUCAUAGUUUGGGAAGUGGCGAGAGAUUAACUAUCGGCUGGUAUUAUUGGUCUUCAGGGCUAAGUAAGCUGUUACUUAUCGAGGAAGGGAGUGAUGCAAUAAGGAGGUCAUAUAUACCUCUAGACCUGGCUAGUUUGUGUGUGUAUCUGUGUGUGUGUGUGGCUAUAAUCUCUCCUUUGUGGCUCAAUACAUUCUAUUUAAGACAAAAAAAAAAAAAAACAGAGAAAAUUUUGGACUUUUACUAUUUCAUGAAUAAGAGCAGAUGUGAAACUAAAA
RNA transcript from Brassica napus (rape), 1029 nucleotides. It is a transcript of the gene named superoxide dismutase [Cu-Zn] 1, with no coding region annotated. The transcript is spliced from 9 exons. The record is from RefSeq and is a predicted model, not a curated record. NCBI's taxonomy places the organism in Eukaryota, Viridiplantae, Streptophyta, Magnoliopsida, Brassicales, Brassicaceae.